UACGUAGGGGGCAAGCGUUGUCCGGAUUUAUUGGGCGUAAAGAGCGUGUAGGCGGCCAGACAGGUCAGCUGUGAAAACUCGAGGCUCAACCUCGAGACGUCGGUUGAAACCGUCUGGCUAGAGUCCGGAAGAGGAGAGUGGAAUUCCUGGUGUAGCGGUGAAAUGCGCAGAUAUCGGAAGGAACGCCGGUGGCGAAAGCGACGUGCUGGACCCUUUCUGACGCUGAGGCGCGAAAGCCAGGGGAGCAAACGGG
RNAcentral lists this ribosomal RNA (253 nucleotides) under uncultured bacterium. Its description in RNAcentral is "partial 16S ribosomal RNA". It matches the Rfam family "Bacterial small subunit ribosomal RNA", at positions 524 to 776 of the family's 1533-position model. The record is from RNAcentral.